UACGGAGGGUGCAAGCGUUAUCCGGAUUUACUUGGUUUAAAGGGUGUGUAGGCGGGCCUUUAAGUCAGUGGUGAAAUCUCCAGGCUCAACCUGGGAACUGCAUUUAAGACUGUUGAGCUUGAGUAGAAUAGAGGUAAGUGGAAUUUCCGGUGUAGCGGUGAAAUGCGUAGAUAUCGGAAAGAACACCAGUGGCGAAGGCGACUUACUGGAUUCAUACUGACGCUGAGGCGCGAAAGCAUGGGGAGCAAACAGG
RNAcentral lists this ribosomal RNA (253 nucleotides) under uncultured bacterium. RNAcentral's name for it is "partial 16S ribosomal RNA". It matches the Rfam family "Bacterial small subunit ribosomal RNA", at positions 524 to 776 of the family's 1533-position model. The record is from RNAcentral.